GGGGAUUUAGCUCAGUGGUAGAGCGCUUGCCUAAAAAGCGCAAGGCCCUGGGUUCGGUCCCCAGCUCCG
Molecule: non-coding RNA, 69 nt
Organism: Rattus norvegicus (Norway rat)
Lineage: Eukaryota; Metazoa; Chordata; Mammalia; Rodentia; Muridae
Source: Rfam